GUUCUUUAGCUCAGUUGGUCAGAGCUAACGGCUAUAACCGUUCGGUCGCUGGUUCGAGUCCAGCAAGAACAA
Molecule: transfer RNA, 72 nt
Filed under: Lactococcus lactis
Lineage: Bacteria; Bacillati; Bacillota; Bacilli; Lactobacillales; Streptococcaceae
Description: tRNA-OTHER
Rfam family: tRNA
About the family: Transfer RNA (tRNA) molecules are approximately 80 nucleotides in length. Their secondary structure includes four short double-helical elements and three loops (D, anti-codon, and T loops).
Source: RNAcentral